RNAcentral lists this ribosomal RNA (716 nucleotides) under Bacillus sp. Y486_1. RNAcentral describes it as "bacterial SSU rRNA". It matches the Rfam family "Bacterial small subunit ribosomal RNA", at positions 56 to 752 of the family's 1533-position model. Lineage: Bacteria; Bacillati; Bacillota; Bacilli; Caryophanales; Bacillaceae. The record is from RNAcentral.
UGCAAGUCGAGCGAAUGGAUUAAGAGCUUGCUCUUAUGAAGUUAGCGGCGGACGGGUGAGUAACACGUGGGUAACCUGCCCAUAAGACUGGGAUAACUCCGGGAAACCGGGGCUAAUACCGGAUAACAUUUUGAACUGCAUGGUUCGAAAUUGAAAGGCGGCUUCGGCUGUCACUUAUGGAUGGACCCGCGUCGCAUUAGCUAGUUGGUGAGGUAACGGCUCACCAAGGCAACGAUGCGUAGCCGACCUGAGAGGGUGAUCGGCCACACUGGGACUGAGACACGGCCCAGACUCCUACGGGAGGCAGCAGUAGGGAAUCUUCCGCAAUGGACGAAAGUCUGACGGAGCAACGCCGCGUGAGUGAUGAAGGCUUUCGGGUCGUAAAACUCUGUUGUUAGGGAAGAACAAGUGCUAGUUGAAUAAGCUGGCACCUUGACGGUACCUAACCAGAAAGCCACGGCUAACUACGUGCCAGCAGCCGCGGUAAUACGUAGGUGGCAAGCGUUAUCCGGAAUUAUUGGGCGUAAAGCGCGCGCAGGUGGUUUCUUAAGUCUGAUGUGAAAGCCCACGGCUCAACCGUGGAGGGUCAUUGGAAACUGGGAGACUUGAGUGCAGAAGAGGAAAGUGGAAUUCCAUGUGUAGCGGUGAAAUGCGUAGAGAUAUGGAGGAACACCAGUGGCGAAGGCGACUUUCUGGUCUGUAACUGACACUGAGGC